CCUACGGGUGGCUUCAGUGGGGAAUAUUGGACAAUGGGCGAAAGCCUGAUCCAGCCAUGCCGCGUGUGUGAAGAAGGCCUUCGGGUUGUAAAGCACUUUCAGUGGGGAAGAAAGCCUUGGGGCUAAUACCCUCGAGGAAGGACAUCACCCACAGAAGAAGCACCGGCUAACUCCGUGCCAGCAGCCGCGGUAAUACGGAGGGUGCGAGCGUUAAUCGGAAUUACUGGGCGUAAAGCGCGCGUAGGCGGUCUGAUAAGCCGGUUGUGAAAGCCCCGGGCUCAACCUGGGAACGGCAUCCGGAACUGUCAGGCUAGAGUGCAGGAGAGGAAGGUAGAAUUCCCGGUGUAGCGGUGAAAUGCGUAGAGCUCGGGAGGAAUACCAGUGGCGAAGGCGGCCUUCUGGACUGACACUGACGCUGAGGUGCGAAAGCGUGGGUAGCAAACAGGAUUAGAUACCCCAGUAGUC
RNAcentral lists this ribosomal RNA (465 nucleotides) under Vreelandella stevensii. RNAcentral describes it as "partial 16S ribosomal RNA". It matches the Rfam family "Bacterial small subunit ribosomal RNA", at positions 338 to 795 of the family's 1533-position model. The record is from RNAcentral. Lineage: Bacteria; Pseudomonadati; Pseudomonadota; Gammaproteobacteria; Oceanospirillales; Halomonadaceae.